CAAAUUUUUAAUAGAAGCUAUAGAAUUUUAAGAAGUAAUAGGACCUUAAGCAUUUAUCUUUCAGCUGUCAUUUUUAUUGAUGAUAUAUUUAGCAAAAUCUAAAUUAUAUUUAUACACAAAGUUUUCUAAAUUGUAAAUCAAUUAAAUAAUGGUUAAUUGCAUAAAAUUUGAUUUAAUAUGAUAUGGCAUACUUGUGCACUGUACAAAAUUUUUUUCUUUGUAAUUCUAGUCUAAUUUUUACUGCAAAAUCACAAAAUGAAGGAAUGCCCUCAUCAAAGUCAUAGAAUUUAAAUAAACUUCUGUGGGAACAUUUUUAUAGGCACAUUUAAGUAUACAUCUGGGGAUCAUAAGGUCAUAGAUUUAGAGUUAGAAGGGAUCUUAGAACUCAUUUAUUGCAAUUCUUUCAUUUUACAGAUGAGAACCAUAGUGUAACUAGCUCAAGUUGUGCCUUUGCAUAGGCAAUCUCCUUUGCUUGAAGGCACUCCCUUCUCAUUUCUGAUUUUCAGAAUCUUAUUCUCUUUCAAGGGUGUCUCAGAUUAGAUGCCACCUCCUCCAAGAGGUCAUCCGUGAUCCUUCAGUUAUCCAUGCUCUCUCCCACUUCAGAUAACCUUGUGUUUACUUCUUUUUCAACUGUACAAGUAUUCUUAUUCAUGUAGGUAUGAUCACAUCAUUCUCCUGCUCAAAAAUUGACAUUGGCUCCCCUUUGCCUCUAAGACAAAAUACCAGAUCCUUAAUCAAGUCCUUCCCAAUCUGCCUUCAAUUGAACUUUCUAGCCUGAUAUUACAUUACUCAGAUUCAUUCACUCUAUGUUCUAAUCAACCUCAUGAGAGAGACUGCUGAAGAGAUAGCAAAGAAAGAAUGAAAUUUCCAAUAUUCUCAAACACAUCUUUAACAGUAUUAAGUCUGUUCAAAAACAAAUCAAAGCCACCAUAAGAUAAACUGGGCUAUUCCAGCACUAGCUAAAAGAGAAAGUUCAUUGUUCAUUAUAAUCAUGCAAUAUUAUGGCACUCUACAUUGCCCUAAUACUCUUUUCCCUUAUUUCCAGGUAUUUGGUCACAAGAUAAGUAAAAUCAAAAUAGCAGGAGAGCAUAAUUUCAAGAAAGCUAUGGAGACUAAGAUGCAAAGGCAGGUCCCCCUCUGCUUUUGCACCUUAAAGAGGAUGGCCUCCUUUUCAGAUGAGAAUGGAUCCUUCUCAGACUGAAUUUGUACGUAGGUAAGAUAAGCCUCUUUUGGACGUGAGUGGAUCAUCCUACUCUUUGUAAAGGAUAUCAGGGCUUUGAGUUAUAGUACAAGCCUAAGCACAUCACCCUGUACUCAAUAAACUUAAAUGGCUCCUCA
Molecule: long non-coding RNA, 1338 nt
Filed under: Phascolarctos cinereus (koala)
Lineage: Eukaryota; Metazoa; Chordata; Mammalia; Diprotodontia; Phascolarctidae
Description: lncRNA (ENSPCIG00000033112.1)
Source: RNAcentral